GCCACAUCUCGUUGAAACACCGAUUCCCGUACGAUCACCGAAGUUAAGCAACAUAGAGCCUGGCCAGUACGUAGAUUGAUAAACGUUUGUGUAUGCCAGGUGCUGUAAG
Acanthosepion pharaonis is the source of this 109-nucleotide non-coding RNA. NCBI's taxonomy places the organism in Eukaryota, Metazoa, Mollusca, Cephalopoda, Sepiida, Sepiidae. The record is from the annotation of a GenBank genome assembly.